GAUGAACGCUGGCGGCGUGCUUAACACAUGCAAGUCGAACGAGAGAAGAUCGUUGCUUGCACUGAUCCGAUCGAGUGGCGGACGGGUGAGUAACGCGUGGGUAACCUGCCUCAUACAGGGGAAUAACAGUUGGAAACGGCUGCUAAAACCGCAUAAGCGCACAGUAUCGCAUGAUACAGUGUGAAAAACGCCGGUGGUAUGAGAUGGACCCGCGUCUGAUUAGCUAGUUGGUGAGGUAACGGCCCACCAAGGCAACGAUCAGUAGCCGGACUGAGAGGGUGAACGGCCACAUUGGGACUGAGACACGGCCCAAACUCCUACGGGAGGCAGCAGUGGGGAAUAUUGCACAAUGGGGGAAACCCUGAUGCAGCGACGCCGCGUGAGUGAUGAAGUAUUUCGGUAUGUAAAGCUCUAUCAGCAGGGAAGAUAAUGACGGUACCUGACUAAGAAGCACCGGCUAAAUACGUGCCAGCAGCCGCGGUAA
Molecule: ribosomal RNA, 484 nt
Filed under: uncultured bacterium
Lineage: Bacteria
Description: partial 16S ribosomal RNA
Rfam family: Bacterial small subunit ribosomal RNA
Source: RNAcentral